ACAGCGAACCAGCUUGUCGCUGCUCUGUCUUCCUCUUUCGGGAGGGAUGCAGAGGAGAGGAAAGUCCGGGCAACACAGGGCUUCCCGCUUCCUAACAGGAAGAGGUCCGUGAGGGUCAGUAAGUGCAGAAGAAAAUAACCGCUGGAAAGUGUUGCCGAAGGCAACCGCUUUUCCAGCAAGGGUGAGAAGGUGAGGUAAGAGCUCACCAGGCCGGCAGCGAUGUCUGGUGCUGUGCACUCCGGGAGUUGAAAGUUCAUGUAAACCGGCGAACCUUGGCUCGAUGCAAGUCGGCCGAGAGAGAGGGCUGCCCGUCCGAGCCGGAGGGUAGAACGAUAGAGGACAACGGCGACGUUGCCCGUAGAUAAAUGACAAGCUUCCCCGUUCGGGGAAUACAGAACCCGGCUUAUAGGUUCGCUGGCUUU
This 422-nucleotide RNase P RNA is filed under the name Bacteroidaceae bacterium. RNAcentral's name for it is "RNase P RNA component class A". It matches the Rfam family "Bacterial RNase P class A". Rfam says of the family: Ribonuclease P (RNase P) is a ubiquitous endoribonuclease, found in archaea, bacteria and eukarya as well as chloroplasts and mitochondria. The record is from RNAcentral. Lineage: Bacteria; Pseudomonadati; Bacteroidota; Bacteroidia; Bacteroidales; Bacteroidaceae.